CAGUAGCCACGGUAACACGGAGGGAGCUAGCGUUGUUCGGAAUUACUGGGCGUAAAGCGCACGUAGGCGGCUAUUCAAGUCAGGGGUGAAAGCCCGGGGCUCAACCCCGGAACUGCCUUUGAAACUAGAUAGCUUGAAUCUUGGAGAGGCGAGUGGAAUUCCGAGUGUAGAGGUGAAAUUCGUAGAUAUUCGGAAGAACACCAGUGGCGAAGGCGACUCGCUGGACAAGUAUUGACGCUGAGGUGCGAAAGCGUGGGGAGCAAACAGGAUUAGAUACCCCCGUAGUCCCUGUCUCUUAUAC
RNAcentral lists this ribosomal RNA (301 nucleotides) under uncultured bacterium. RNAcentral describes it as "partial 16S ribosomal RNA". It matches the Rfam family "Bacterial small subunit ribosomal RNA", at positions 509 to 807 of the family's 1533-position model. The record is from RNAcentral.